GCUUUUUUCGCAGCGGAGCUCGACCGCCCCACGACGAGAUGAUCGCUUAUAUCGAUAUGUUUCGGGAUCGUUUCGGAGUCGAGUCCAUCUGUCGUGUGUU
This 100-nucleotide non-coding RNA is filed under the name uncultured Enteractinococcus sp. RNAcentral's name for it is "ALIL pseudoknot". It matches the Rfam family "ALIL pseudoknot", at positions 2 to 104 of the family's 117-position model. Lineage: Bacteria; Bacillati; Actinomycetota; Actinomycetes; Micrococcales; Micrococcaceae. The record is from RNAcentral.